GGGCUGGCGGGGGCCGGGGCCACUGCGCCCGUCUGCUGACCACGGCAGGGCCCGUGUAGGAGGGACCCGCUCGGCCUCGCAGGAUGUCUCAGCCGCCCUCCAUCACCCUCCACGUCCCCGAGGGCUCCGAGAGCGAUGGGCACCAGGUGUGUGUCCACCAUGUCCCUGUGUUCCUGCAGCCAGGAGCCCAGUCCAGACAAUGAGAGAGCCCUGCACACCUCAUUCCACCAGCUCAUCCUGGAGCAGAGCAGCUUGAUCGAGGCAGGUCUGGAGCUGGAGUUGCAGGACAGGGGCAGAGUGUCUCCAGCCUGCUUGGCUACUCCAGAUGCCUGUGCCGUGCCCUGGCCAGAGCCUGGGCAAGGUGAGGAGCACCCCAGCUACUCCUCUGCCUCCCUGCAAAUCUUGGCCAGCAUGCCCAGCCGCACCAUCGGACGCAACCUUGGGGCCAUCAUCUCCCAGUACUGCAACCGCACGGCGCAGCUGCGGCGCCGGCGCAGCCGCCCACCCCUACAGCAGCUGUGCCGCACGGCACGGCCCAGCCUGCGCCAGUACGACCUGGAGACUGACCCUGCCAGGGCCACGCUGGAAGAGAAGCGGCGUCUGCUGGUGACGGAGCUGCUGAGCGUCUCACCCAGCCAGUGCAGCCACAUGCUGCUGACCAUGCCCCUCAGCCUGGCAGAGAAACGCAUCCUCCGGCGGCAGCUGAGCGGGCAGAGGGGCCCACUGAGACAGCACGCCCGUCACUGGGACCCCUUCUCACCCUGUGGUUGGUCCAAGGUCUGCGUUGUCCUCGGCUGCCGAGGUCUCUGGCACAGGCUCCUUUCCCUGCUCCGCACUGCGCAGCCCUGGCACUAUGCCCUGAAGCAGAUUGGUGGCCGCUUUGGCUCCAGUGUCCUCUCCUACUUCCUCUUCCUGAAGACACUCCUUAUGUUGAACUUCUUUUCAUUCUUCAUCCUCCUGGCCUUCGUGGUGGUCGUGCAGGCUGUGUACCCCCCUGCAUCGGCCAGCCCCCAGCCCUUCACUGGCCUCGAGCUCCUCACAGGAGCGGGCUGCUUCACACACUCACUGCUGUACUACGGCUACUACAGCAACGUCACCCUAAAUGACCCCUGCGCCUCCAGUCCUAGGGGCAGCCUGUGCCCCCACACAGCCCCCUUCCUCCCGUACAACUUGCCACUGGCCUACCUGUCCAGUGUUGGGGUCUCCUUCCUUGUCACCUGCAUCCUGCUGGUGUACAGUGUGUCCUGCUCAUUUCGGGAGAGCGUGGGCAGCUCCACAGGGGAAUUGGCCAUCAAAGUCUUCUGCACCUGGGACUUCAAGGUGGUCCAGAGACGCUCGGUGAAGCUGCAGUGCGAGAACAUCUGCACCCAAUUGAAGGAGCUGCUGGUGGAGCAGCGCUCCCGCUCCCACUCCCAGAGCCGCUGCCAGUGCCUGGGGCGCUGCCUCGUAAGGCUGCUGGCCUGGGCCCUGGCACUGGGCUCGGCGCUGGGCUGCGUGCUGGCUGUGCACUACUUCUCGGAGCACAUGCACGUGGUUCAGCGGGAGCAACAAGCGCAGGACAGUGGGAGAUGGCAGCAAGAAGCCAUUCUGCUGGUCCUGCCCCUCGUGGUGUCCCUCCUCAAUGCCUUGAUGCCCCACCUGUACAACUUGCUGGCCGUAUGGGAGAAGCAGGACUCCCCAGUGACACAGGUCUACGUGGCAAUCAUCAGGAACCUCUUCCUGAAGACAGUAGUUCUCAUCCUGCUGUGCUAUCAUUGGCUCAGCCGAAGCGUUAUCUGCUCGACAGAGGAGUGCUGGGAGACGUGUGUGGGGCAGGACCUGUAUCGCUUCAUGGUGAUGGAUUUCAUAUUCACCUUGCUGGAUACGCUCUUCGGGGAGCUGAUCUGGAGGCUAAUCCUGGAGAAGAGGCUGAAGACAAAGCAGAGGCCAGAGUUUGAUAUUGCCCGAAAUGUGCUGGAGUUGAUCUAUGGGCAGACCCUGACCUGGCUGGGUGUUGUCUUCGCUCCGCUCCUGCCAGCUGUGCAGAUGCUGAAGCUGCUGCUGUUGUUCUACAUCAAAAAGACCAGCCUGAUGCGGAACUGCCAGUCCCCCAGCAAGCCCUGGCAAGCAUCACGCAUGAGCACCAUAUUCAUCACCCUGCUGUGCUUCCCCUCCUUCCUGGGUGCAGCUGCCUUCAUCUCCUACACCAUCUGGUCGGUGCAGCCAUCAGAAAUCUGUGGUCCCUUCCGGGGGCUGGAAACCAUCUACAAGUCAGGGAAGAGCUGGGUGCUAGUGCUGGAGAAGUCCAACCCCAACAUCACCUGGUUUGCCUGGGUCUACCAGCACCUGUUGGAGAACACCUGGCUCCUGUUCUUCAUGUCCGUGGCCCUGAUUGCCAGGAGCACAGUGUCCCUCAGCUUCCUGCCUGGCUGCCACCAUCCCGUCCUGCUGUCAUUGCAGAGCUGUGAUCUACUUCAACAUCCAGGUGGUCAGAGGCCGCCAGAGGGUGAUCUGCCUGCUCCAGGAGCAGAUUGCCAACGAAGGGGAAGAUAAGGUAUUUCUCAUUCAGAAGCUUCACUCCGUUUACGAGCAGAGACACAGACGUUCCUGAGUCCCAGUGUCAAGCUCCGCAGGAAGCAAUGGGAUGGACUGGACUCUGCUUGCAGCUGGGAUUGAAUCUGUCCAUCACAAUGCACUGCUGGAAGCUGGGGGACCACGGAGUGCUGGGGAAGAUCCUCCCCUCUUGCCAUGGCCAAGGACCCAUUGGGGCAUGUUACCGGGAAUGCUGCAUUGCAGGGAUGCAGGUGCUCCUGCUGCCUGGAGCUGCUGGGAUGCAGUAGGUACAGGCCCAGGACUGCUCUCACACCCCAGGGCACAGCUCCAUGCAGGACUGCCUCACCAGCACAACCCUGCUCUGUGAGGGCUCACUGCUUACAGAGAACAGCUCUUCAGCUCUCCUUCCUCCAAGUGUGCCCUGGGCUGUUUCCAGAAUCCUUUGGGGACCAUGGAGCUUUCUCCACGACAACCUUCACACUGCCUAGGGACAGCAAGUGUGGAGGCAGGAGCUGCCAGGCAUGGACCCAGCUCCAGCAGCCUGGCUCACCAGGAGAGCAGCUGCCUGAUUGCAGUCCCACAGACAAGGUCACUGGGCCACCCCUGCAGCCCUGCACCCCCUGCACUGGCUGGCGGGACGGACUUGGAAGGAUCACGGCGAUGCCGAGUGCUGUGCUGGGCAGGGACCCUGUGGGCUCAAGCUGACCUGGCCCAUUAAAGCGCUGCUGUGCA
This is an RNA transcript of Prinia subflava (tawny-flanked prinia), 3264 nucleotides long. It is a transcript of the gene named transmembrane channel like 6, with no coding region annotated. The transcript is spliced from 20 exons. Lineage: Eukaryota; Metazoa; Chordata; Aves; Passeriformes; Cisticolidae. The record is from RefSeq and is a predicted model, not a curated record.